Molecule: unclassified non-coding RNA, 1585 nt
Filed under: Hevea brasiliensis (rubber tree)
Lineage: Eukaryota; Viridiplantae; Streptophyta; Magnoliopsida; Malpighiales; Euphorbiaceae
Source: RNAcentral
UUUUUUUUUUCUUUUUAUUCUUCUAACUGUAUGUAAAUAUGAAACCAAAACAUCAAAGAUCUUAUUAAUCAAACAAUUACUACUUCCUAAAACGAAUAGAAUCAACCUAAAACAAUUAAUAACAAACUAGAGGAGAGAAAUUAAUUGACAAGUUCAUGCAUAUUUUGUAUAAAUUUAUCAACAUAACUAGUCAUCAACCCCUUGUUCAGCAUCUCCCUCCACUUUCUGUGGUUCUCCUUCAGCAUUGAACCCAUUUCACCGCCUUUAUCCAUUACAGACUUUAUGGAUUUGCUUAAGUCCUCCUUGGAAAACCACGCUUUCUCAUCUCUCACCACCUCCACAGCUACCUUCAACUCUUCAGCCAUGAACCUGGUGUUCAAGAUUUGGUCACCCAAAUGUGGAAUCAAUACUGCUCGACAAUCACUCAUCAAAGAUUCCCACAUUGAUCCAAACCCACAAUGGCUCACAAAACAUCCUACUGAUGGGUGCUCUAGGAUCAUUAACUGUUGUACCCAUCCCCCCCAUACCACUCCUCUACCUUUAACCCUCUCUUCGAACCCUUUGGGCAGUGCUUCUUCCACUGUUGCGGCACCCAUUGGUGGCUUUAAGGCCACUAAAAAUGGAAAACCUGUUAAUUCAAGCCCUAAAACCAGUUCUUGAAAUUGAUUUUUCUCAAGAACAAUUUGACUUCCAAAUGCGCAGAACACCACUGAACCUGGUUGAAACCCACUUAGCCAUUUAACCCACCGAUCUUCUAGGGGUGUUUUAGGCGGCUCUGGCAACAUAGGACCGGUUAGAAAUACAGGCUUCCCAUAUUGACUCCCAAUAUAUUCACAAAAUUUUCCUUCGGUUUCAUUGCAAGUUCUGAUAGCUAAGGCAUCACUUUCUUUCAUUGCUUUGUAGAUUCUCUCGUAAAACGUUAUCCCCUCACCGAAAGGCUGCGAUAUAAAUAACAAUGAGCGCACUUCAUGGCCGCGAAGAACGACAGUCGACGAUGGAUAGCCGGUAGGUGGCACUAAAAGUUCAGCCUCGGUGAUGGGCUUAUCUUUAGGCACAUUACGUGCCGGGACAAGUACUAUUGCAAUGGAUGCAGCCGAAACAACGGAAUAGUUUAUGGCCUUAAUGCCAAAGGCUUUGGUUAUCUCUGGCACCCAAUGGGCUACAUCAUAAAUAAUCAACUUAGGUUUGGUGUCACGUAUUACCCUUUCGACUUGAUCACGGGUACGAUCCAUGGCUGCGGCUAGCAGAGAGGUGAAUUGAAUGUGGAUGUCAGAGGCGGUCCGGGUGCCUUCAGGGAGACCCUCGACGUGAGGGACCGCGAGAGGGUGGAAGGUGAUGAGAUGAGGAUAAAGAUUCAAGUGUUGUAACUGUUGUAUAGCUUUGAUGGGAAGCAAGAAGGUGGAGGAGUAACCUCUCUCUGCAAGCCUAUUUGAAAGGUGGAGGAAUGGGGUCAUGUGACCAAAAGCAAACCACGGGAACAUUAGUAGAUGAAAAUUGGAGUUCUUGGGGUGACUCAUUUUUCUUACAAUGGGGGAGGAGAGAUUCUUGUUGGAUUUAGAUCUAGUUCAUGGUGAUUGUAAUUUGC